This 328-nucleotide unclassified non-coding RNA is filed under the name soil metagenome. RNAcentral's name for it is "partial contains 5.8S ribosomal RNA, internal transcribed spacer 2, and large subunit ribosomal RNA". The stretch from base 2 to 119 matches the Rfam family "5.8S ribosomal RNA", at positions 37 to 154 of the family's 154-position model. The record is from RNAcentral.
GUGAAGAACGUAGCGAAAUGCGAUAAGUAAUGUGAAUUGCAGAAUUCAGUGAAUCAUCGAAUCUUUGAACGCACAUUGCGCCCUCUGGUAUUCCGGGGGGCAUGCCUGUUCGAGCGUCAUUAUAACCACUCAAGCUCUCGCUUGGUAUUGGAGUUCGCGAUCUCGCGGCUCCUAAAAUCAGUGGCGGUGCCUGUCGGCUCUACGCGUAGUAAUACUCCUCGCGAUUGAGUCCGGUAGGUUUACUUGCCAGCAACCCCCAAUUUUUACAGGUUGACCUCGGAUCAGGUAGGGAUACCCGCUGAACUUAAGCAUAUCAAUAAGCGGAGGA